AGUGGAGUUUAUGGAGCAGAGUUUAUGCAACAAUCCUAAAUACCCAUGAAAAUGAAGAGAAAAAAGAGGAAGAAAGAAGGAGAAAGAGGAUAGGAGAGAGAAAAAAGACUGGGCAUGCAUAGGUGGAUGAGUCCUAAGUUCCCUAUGUGGCAAGACUGUGGCCUUGUUUAGUUCCCAAAAUUUUUUGGUUUUAGGUAGCAUUUUCGUUUUUAUUUGACAAUUAUUGUCCAAUCAUGGACUAACUAGCCCUAAAAGAUUCAUCUCGCGAUUUACAGACAAACUGUGUAACUAGUUUUUAUUUUCGACUAUAUUUAAUGCUCCAUGCAUGUGCCACAAGAUUCGAUAUGAUGGAGAAUCUUUAAAAAGUUUUUGGAAUGAACUAAACAAGGUCACAGCUUUUAGGAUUCACUUAGCUAGGACAGCACUUUAGCUAUAUGGUUGAUUUCCGAGAGAUCACAUAUUUAGACGCUAAUGACAUCUAUCGGGCUAGAUAAGCGUAUAUGUAUGCCUUCAUAUACUGCAGUUUCUGAAAAAUAUAUACCUGAUUGCAUGCAUGCUCACCUUUCUUUUCUAACCUAACCCAUGGAUCCACCACUGUACCGGUCUAAUAUAAAAAGUUCAAUGAAGAAAGAUCGCACACGUGCUAGUGCUAGAAACCGGAUGGAGGAUCAUACAGCUAGCGGUAUGAUGAGAGAUAACAAAGCACGUGCUAGUAGUAGGGACCAGACAGGCAUAGGUAAUGGCACGAGGUCCACGCAGACGCAGGCAGAUGCGAUUUCGGCUUAACUGUUUUAUAGUUUCUCUAAUAAUAAAUUAGCUUAGUAGUAUUUUUCUUUCAUACUAAAUCAGCGAAUAGAUCAUAAGUUAUUACGAGAGCAGAUCUGGCUCAUGCCGAUACUGUAGAAGGGCAAAUCUUAUCUUCUGUCCACGUUACUUGUACAAAUCUGGCUCAUGCAAAUGAGUGCAGUGCAAUAUGUCUUGUUCAUCUCCUCACACCAACUUGUUGCUGAAAAAAUUCAUGUUUGUAGUAAAAAAAAAAGAAAAAAGGGCACCCCUACACCAUGUGGCCGCCGGUGGGGUCGGCAUGGAUUUGAUCCCAUCAGCAAAUGACACUUGUAUUUGGAUGCAGAGACUAAAGUUUAAGAGGUGUUUGGAUGGUAUGUUGUGAGUCGAAUUUAUUAAACAUAAUUAAUAUAUCAUUAGCAUAUGUUUACUAUAGUACUACAUUGGGCUUUGUUUAAUUGGAGUACGAAAAUUUUUUAGGUGUCAUAUCGAAUGUUUUGUAGGAUGUUGGAAGGAGUAUCUGGAUAAUAAUAAAAAAAACUAAUUACAUACUCGCUUAGAAAUUGCGAGACGAAUUUAUUAAGCCUAAUUAAUCCAUCAUUAGCACAUGUAGAUUAAUGUAGCACUUAAGGCUAAUCAUAGACUAACUAUGCUUAAAAGAUUCAUAUCGUGAUUUCCAACCAAAUUGUAUAAUUAGUUUAUUUUACUCCAUGCGUGUGUC
This 1504-nucleotide long non-coding RNA is filed under the name Sorghum bicolor (sorghum). Its description in RNAcentral is "long non-coding RNA (SBIC_LNC011849)". The record is from RNAcentral. Lineage: Eukaryota; Viridiplantae; Streptophyta; Magnoliopsida; Poales; Poaceae.